GACGAACGCUGGCGGCGUGCUUAACACAUGCAAGUCGAACGGAAAGGCCCUGCUUGCAGGGUACUCGAGUGGCGAACGGGUGAGUAACACGUGGGUGAUCUGCCCUGCACUUCGGGAUAAGCCUGGGAAACUGGCUCUAAUACCGGAUAGGAGCCAUUUUUAGUGUGAUGGUUGGAAAGUUUUUUCGGUGUAGGAUGAGCUCGCGGCCUAUCAGCUUGUUGGUGGGGUAAUGGCCUACCAAGGCGGCGACGGGUAGCCGGCCUGAGAGGGUGGACGGCCACAUUGGGACUGAGAUACGGCCCAGACUCCUACGGGAGGCAGCAGUGGGGAAUAUUGCACAAUGGGCGCAAGCCUGAUGCAGCGACGCCGCGUGGGGGAUGACGGCCUUCGGGUUGUAAACUCCUUUCGCUAGGGACGAAGCUUUUUGUGACGGUACCUAGAUAAGAAGCACCGGCUAACUACGUG
This 465-nucleotide ribosomal RNA is filed under the name uncultured bacterium. RNAcentral describes it as "partial 16S ribosomal RNA". It matches the Rfam family "Bacterial small subunit ribosomal RNA", at positions 28 to 507 of the family's 1533-position model. The record is from RNAcentral.